GACGAACGCUGGCGGCGUGCCUAAUACAUGCAAGUCGAACGCAUUUUCUUUCACCGUAGCUUGCUACACCGAAAGAAAAUGAGUGGCGAACGGGUGGGUAACACGUGGGUAACCUGCCCAUCAGCGGGGGAUAACACUUGGAAACAGGUGCUAAUACCGCAUAAUUCCAUUUACUGCAUGGUAGAUGGAUGAAAGGCGCUUUUGCGUCACUGAUGGAUGGACCCGCGGUGCAUUAGCUAGUUGGUGGGGUAACGGCCUACCAAGGCUGCGAUGCAUAGCCGACCUGAGAGGGUGAUCGGCCACACUGGGACUGAGACACGGCCCAGACUCCUACGGGAGGCAGCAGUAGGGAAUCUUCGGCAAUGGACGCAAGUCUGACCGAGCAACGCCGCGUGAGUGAAGAAGGUUUUCGGAUCGUAAAACUCUGUUGUUAGAAAAGAACAAGGAUGAGAGUGGAAAGUUCAUCCCUUGACGGUAUCUAACCAGAAAGCCACGGCUAACUACGUG
RNAcentral lists this ribosomal RNA (507 nucleotides) under uncultured bacterium. Its description in RNAcentral is "partial 16S ribosomal RNA". It matches the Rfam family "Bacterial small subunit ribosomal RNA", at positions 28 to 507 of the family's 1533-position model. The record is from RNAcentral.